CUAAGUUGUGCUGUCUGUCGGCCUCAUCAAGCGUUUCCCCAUAGAGAUUAGGUUGGAAGUACUACAGUAAUACUGUUUAUACAAUAUAGUAUUUAGCCUCAUUCUGUGGUUGUCCCCCCUGUCUGUCAGCUGCCUAAUGGGGUGACCCAGAGCCAGGCUGUGUACCAGGACCGCUUCGGGAAACUCCAGGAGCACCUCCAUCCGCUGGCCCUGCUCCUCCGCAAGCUCCGCCUCCUCUAUGAGCGCAGUGUGGAGAUGACCUCUGACCUGCAGGAAGAACUCCCAAGAGCUGGUGCCAUAUGUAGGAGAGGAGAUGGAGCCCUGUGAGAGUGGAGCCCUGCAGUCCAGCUGUAAACCCAGAGAGACAAGAAGUGCUGGAGAAGGUAAGGCAGAAGAACUAGGAGAUUAAGAUUCUGGACCAGAUGAACUUGCUAUGGGAUGUCAAUGCCUUGCUGACACUCAGGAAAUAACAUCACAGAUGACCUCAACCCCUCCCGCCAACCCUCUCUCACUGCACUUCACAAUGCCCUCCCACUAGGGGACAGGAGUUUUCCUGACCCAGAAAACUCUAGGCCCUAGUACUUCCAACCAUUGUUGUUCUGGUGUGAGAUAGAUCACCCAAAACUUAUACCUUUACAGUGUGGUGCUUUCAGAGACAUUGAAUGAACUGAGUUAACUUUUAAAAAGUUUUUGUUGAAUUUUUACCCCGUUUUCACGGUAUCCAAUUGUUAGUAGCUACUAUCUUGUCUCAUUACUACAACUCCGGUACGGGCUCGGGAGAGAC
Oncorhynchus kisutch (coho salmon) is the source of this 784-nucleotide long non-coding RNA. RefSeq lists it as uncharacterized. Lineage: Eukaryota; Metazoa; Chordata; Actinopteri; Salmoniformes; Salmonidae. The transcript has 3 exons. The record is from RefSeq and is a predicted model, not a curated record.